AUGGGUCAACAGAAGAAGGAAAAGCCUGAGUAUGCCAGAUCAGAUACUGAUGUCGAAAGCCAAAGCAAAACCAAGAAGAAGAGAAGGAACAAGAAGAAGAAUGCUUCACCCUCUCCUAGACAAAACCAACACCACAAGCUGCAUGUUGCCCUGCUAUCGCUCUGUGUGACGGCAUGUGACAAAUUACACCUUGAUCUCGAUGCAAUUUCAAUGGGAGAAGGAAGAGAUCAGGCUACAGAUCCAAGAGAAUCUGUUACGUUCAGCCUUGCGAUGAAAAUGGUGCGGUUAAACAGGGAUAUUAUAACCCCCGAUAGCCUGACAGCAAUGAAGCUUACCACUAGGAUGGUGAUAGCAGCAAUGAGGAAACUCGGGGGCAACGGCGCCGGUGUCGACCGAGCUAAUCUCGAGAGCCUCAUGGACUCCCUGUCUAGUGUUUCAGAGACCAUGUUGGAUCUAGAGGGAUGCAUGGUUUUCGCUACCGAGACGACCACGACAAAACCUGCCACUAUCGACACCCUCAGCUCCCUCGUGAAACAAGCACGGCAACUUCACGGAGAAAUUAAGGGCCAAGACUCAGAAAUAGUGACAGCUAGCUAG
This 597-nucleotide ribosomal RNA is filed under the name Triticum aestivum (bread wheat). RNAcentral describes it as "partial small subunit ribosomal RNA". The record is from RNAcentral. Lineage: Eukaryota; Viridiplantae; Streptophyta; Magnoliopsida; Poales; Poaceae.